CAGCCGUAAACUAUGCUCGCUAGGUGUCAGGGACGGUGCGACCGUUUCUGGUGCCGCAGGGAAGCCGUGAAGCGAGCCACCUGGGAAGUACGGCCGCAAGGCUGAAACUUAAAGGAAUUGGCGGGGGAGCACAACAACGGGUGGAGCUUGCGGUUUAAUUGGAUUCAACGCCGGAAAUCUUACCGGGACCGACAGCAACAUGAAGGCCAAGCUGAAGACUUUGCCGGAUUAGCUGAGAGGUGGUGCAUGGCGUAGUCGUGU
Molecule: ribosomal RNA, 261 nt
Filed under: uncultured archaeon
Lineage: Archaea
Description: partial 16S ribosomal RNA
Rfam family: Archaeal small subunit ribosomal RNA
Source: RNAcentral